Molecule: ribosomal RNA, 440 nt
Filed under: uncultured bacterium
Lineage: Bacteria
Description: partial 16S ribosomal RNA
Rfam family: Bacterial small subunit ribosomal RNA
Source: RNAcentral
CCUACGGGUGGCAGCAGUGGGGAAUAUUGCACAAUGGGGGAAACCCUGAUGCAGCGACGCCGCGUGAGUGAAGAAGUAAUUCGUUAUGUAAAGCUCUAUCAGCAGGGAAGAAAAUGACGGUACCUGUGUAAGAAGCCCCGGCUAACUACGUGCCAGCAGCCGCGGUAAUACGGAGGGGGAACGCGUUAUCCGGAUUUACUGGGUGGAAAGGGAGCGUAGACGGCAGUGCAAGUCUGAAGGGAAAGGCGGGGGCUCAACCCCCGGACUGCUCUGGAAACUGUACGGCUGGAGUGCAGGAGAGGGGAGUAGAAUUCCGAGUGUAGCGGUGAAAUGCGUAGAGAUGAGGAGGAACACCAGUGGCGAAGGCGGCUGACUGGACUGUAACUGACGUUGAGGCUCGAAAGCGUGGGGAGCAAACAGGAUUAGAUACCCUUGUAGUC